This 422-nucleotide ribosomal RNA is filed under the name uncultured bacterium. Its description in RNAcentral is "partial 16S ribosomal RNA". It matches the Rfam family "Bacterial small subunit ribosomal RNA", at positions 361 to 774 of the family's 1533-position model. The record is from RNAcentral.
AUCUUCCGCGAUGUACGCAAGUCUGACGGAGCGAUGCCGCGUGAGUGAUAAAGGUCUUCGGAACGUUAAACUCUGUUGUUAGGGAAGAACAAGUGUCGGAGUAAUAUGCCGGUACCUUGACGGUACCUAACCAGAAAUCCCCGGCUAACUACGUGCCAGCAGUCGCGGGUAUACGUAGGGGGCAAGCGUUGUCCGGAAAUAUUGGGCGUAAAAGUCACGCAGGCGGUUAUUGAAGUCUGAUGUGAAAUCUUGUGGCUUAACCACAAGCGGACAUUGGAAACUGGAUAACUUGAGUACAGAAGAGGAGAGUGGAAUUCCACGUGUAGCGGUGAAAUGCGUAGAGAUGUGGAGGAACACCAGUGGCGAAGGCGGCUCUCUGGUCUGUAACUGACGCUGAAGUGCGAAAGCGUGGGUAGCGAACA